CCGGCGAUUUCCGAAUGGGGAAACCCAGUGUGUUUCGACACACUAUCAUUAACUGAAUCCAUAGGUUAAUGAGGCGAACCGGGGGAACUGAAACAUCUAAGUACCCCGAGGAAAAGAAAUCAACCGAGAUUCCCCCAGUAGCGGCGAGCGAACGGGGAGGAGCCCAGAGCCUGAAUCAGUGUGUGUGUUAGUGGAAGCGUCUGGAAAGGCGCGCGAUACAGGGUGACAGCCCCGUACACAAAAAUGCACAUACUGUGAGCUCGAUGAGUAGGGCGGGACACGUGGUAUCCUGUCUGAAUAUGGGGGGACCAUCCUCCAAGGCUAAAUACUCCUGACUGACCGAUAGUGAACCAGUACCGUGAGGGAAAGGCGAAAAGAACCCCGGCGAGGGGAGUGAAAAAGAACCUGAAACCGUGUACGUACAAGCAGUGGGAGCCUCUUUUAUGGGGUGACUGCGUACCUUUUGUAUAAUGGGUCAGCGACUUAUAUUCUGUAGCAAGGUUAACCGAAUAGGGGAGCCGAAGGGAAACCGAGUCUUAACUGGGCGUUAAGUUGCAGGGUAUAGACCCGAAACCCGGUGAUCUAGCCAUGGGCAGGUUGAAGGUUGGGUAACACUAACUGGAGGACCGAACCGACUAAUGUUGAAAAAUUAGCGGAUGACUUGUGGCUGGGGGUGAAAGGCCAAUCAAACCGGGAGAUAGCUGGUUCUCCCCGAAAGCUAUUUAGGUAGCGCCUCGUGAAUUCAUCUCCGGGGGUAGAGCACUGUUUCGGCAAGGGGGUCAUCCCGACUUACCAACCCGAUGCAAACUGCGAAUACCGGAGAAUGUUAUCACGGGAGACACACGGCGGGUGCUAACGUCCGUCGUGAAGAGGGAAACAACCCAGACCGCCAGCUAAGGUCCCAAAGUCAUGGUUAAGUGGGAAACGAUGUGGGAAGGCCCAGACAGCCAGGAUGUUGGCUUAGAAGCAGCCAUCAUUUAAAGAAAGCGUAAUAGCUCACUGGUCGAGUCGGCCUGCGCGGAAGAUGUAACGGGGCUAAACCAUGCACCGAAGCUGCGGCAGCGACGCUUAUGCGUUGUUGGGUAGGGGAGCGUUCUGUAAGCCUGUGAAGGUGUACUGUGAGGUAUGCUGGAGGUAUCAGAAGUGCGAAUGCUGACAUAAGUAACGAUAAAGCGGGUGAAAAGCCCGCUCGCCGGAAGACCAAGGGUUCCUGUCCAACGUUAAUCGGGGCAGGGUGAGUCGACCCCUAAGGCGAGGCCGAAAGGCGUAGUCGAUGGGAAACAGGUUAAUAUUCCUGUACUUGGUGUUACUGCGAAGGGGGGACGGAGAAGGCUAUGUUGGCCGGGCGACGGUUGUCCCGGUUUAAGCGUGUAGGCUGGUUUUCCAGGCAAAUCCGGAAAAUCAAGGCUGAGGCGUGAUGACGAGGCACUACGGUGCUGAAGCAACAAAUGCCCUGCUUCCAGGAAAAGCCUCUAAGCAUCAGGUAACAUCAAAUCGUACCCCAAACCGACACAGGUGGUCAGGUAGAGAAUACCAAGGCGCUUGAGAGAACUCGGGUGAAGGAACUAGGCAAAAUGGUGCCGUAACUUCGGGAGAAGGCACGCUGAUAUGUAGGUGAAGCGACUUGCUCGUGGAGCUGAAAUCAGUCGAAGAUACCAGCUGGCUGCAACUGUUUAUUAAAAACACAGCACUGUGCAAACACGAAAGUGGACGUAUACGGUGUGACGCCUGCCCGGUGCCGGAAGGUUAAUUGAUGGGGUUAGCGGUAACGCGAAGCUCUUGAUCGAAGCCCCGGUAAACGGCGGCCGUAACUAUAACGGUCCUAAGGUAGCGAAAUUCCUUGUCGGGUAAGUUCCGACCUGCACGAAUGGCGUAAUGAUGGCCAGGCUGUCUCCACCCGAGACUCAGUGAAAUUGAACUCGCUGUGAAGAUGCAGUGUACCCGCGGCAAGACGGAAAGACCCCGUGAACCUUUACUAUAGCUUGACACUGAACAUUGAGCCUUGAUGUGUAGGAUAGGUGGGAGGCUUUGAAGUGUGGACGCCAGUCUGCAUGGAGCCGACCUUGAAAUACCACCCUUUAAUGUUUGAUGUUCUAACGUUGGCCCCUGAUCGGGGUUGCGGACAGUGUCUGGUGGGUAGUUUGACUGGGGCGGUCUCCUCCUAAAGAGUAACGGAGGAGCACGAAGGUUGGCUAAUCCUGGUCGGACAUCAGGAGGUUAGUGCAAUGGCAUAAGCCAGCUUGACUGCGAGCGUGACGGCGCGAGCAGGUGCGAAAGCAGGUCAUAGUGAUCCGGUGGUUCUGAAUGGAAGGGCCAUCGCUCAACGGAUAAAAGGUACUCCGGGGAUAACAGGCUGAUACCGCCCAAGAGUUCAUAUCGACGGCGGUGUUUGGCACCUCGAUGUCGGCUCAUCACAUCCUGGGGCUGAAGUAGGUCCCAAGGGUAUGGCUGUUCGCCAUUUAAAGUGGUACGCGAGCUGGGUUUAGAACGUCGUGAGACAGUUCGGUCCCUAUCUGCCGUGGGCGCUGGAGAACUGAGGGGGGCUGCUCCUAGUACGAGAGGACCGGAGUGGACGCAUCACUGGUGUUCGGGUUGUCAUGCCAAUGGCACUGCCCGGUAGCUAAAUGCGGAAGAGAUAAGUGCUGAAAGCAUCUAAGCACGAAACUUGCCCCGAGAUGAGUUCUCCCUGAGACUUUA
This 2697-nucleotide ribosomal RNA is filed under the name Escherichia coli. Its description in RNAcentral is "partial 23S ribosomal RNA". It matches the Rfam family "Bacterial large subunit ribosomal RNA". Lineage: Bacteria; Pseudomonadati; Pseudomonadota; Gammaproteobacteria; Enterobacterales; Enterobacteriaceae. The record is from RNAcentral.